RNAcentral lists this transfer RNA (91 nucleotides) under Lentinula edodes (shiitake mushroom). It matches the Rfam family "tRNA". From Rfam's summary of the family: Transfer RNA (tRNA) molecules are approximately 80 nucleotides in length. Their secondary structure includes four short double-helical elements and three loops (D, anti-codon, and T loops). Lineage: Eukaryota; Fungi; Basidiomycota; Agaricomycetes; Agaricales; Omphalotaceae. The record is from Rfam by way of RNAcentral.
GGCGCUAUAGCCAAGUGGUUACGGCGACAGAUUCGAAUAUUCGACUAUCUGUUCCUCUUUGAGGGCGCAGGUUCAAAUCCUGCUGGCGUCG